GGAGGUUACUGCUAUCGGUGUUCGCCUAACCCAUGCGAGUCAUAUGUUCUUCGUGAACAUGGCGUACUGCUCAGUAACACGUGAAUAACCUGCCCUUGGGACCGGCAUAACCCCGGGAAACUGGGGAUAAUUCCGGAUACCGCAUAUAUGCUGGAAUGCUUUAUGCGUGAAAUGGAUUCUUCUGCCCAAGGAUGGAUCUGCGGCCUAUCAGGUAGUAGUGGGUGUAAUGUACCUACUACCCUACAACGGGUACGGGUUGUGAAAGCAAGAGCCCGGAAAUGGAUUCUGAAACAUGAAUCCAGGCCCUACGGGGCGCACCAGGCGCAAAAACUUUACAAUGCGGGAAACCGUGAUAAGGGGACACCGAGUGCCAGCAACAUUUGUUGGCUGUCCAGGUGUGUAAACUACACCUGUUAGCAAGGGCCGGGCAAAACCGGUGCCAGCAC
Molecule: ribosomal RNA, 446 nt
Filed under: uncultured archaeon
Lineage: Archaea
Description: bacterial SSU rRNA
Rfam family: Archaeal small subunit ribosomal RNA
Source: RNAcentral